RNAcentral lists this long non-coding RNA (258 nucleotides) under Lupinus angustifolius (narrow-leaved blue lupine). RNAcentral's name for it is "long non-coding RNA (LANG_LNC000952)". Lineage: Eukaryota; Viridiplantae; Streptophyta; Magnoliopsida; Fabales; Fabaceae. The record is from RNAcentral.
GUGUUGUGUUUACGGCAUAUUUAUCGUUUUUACCAUUAUAAAAGUGGUUCUGAGUUUUUACAAUAGUCGCGAUUCUAUCAAAAAGGAUCAACACAGCUGGUAUCAGUUUUUCUAUAGAGGAAUCUCUGCGAGCAAACUUCUCAACCAACUUGCUUCUUCACUAGGUAUUGCUAGUGCUAUCAUUUCAACUUCCAUAAUGGAUUGAGCUAAAAUAAUAUAUUUCAUCUCGUCAUUUAUGACUUUUUGCCACAAAUCAAC